GACGAACGCUGGCGGCGUGCUUAACACAUGCAAGUCGAACGGUGAUGCUCCAGCUUGCUGGAGUGGAUCAGUGGCGAACGGGUGAGUAACACGUGAGCAACCUGCCCCAGACUCUGGAAUAAGCGCUGGAAACGGCGUCUAAUACUGGAUACGAAACUGGCCCGCAUGGGCAUGGUUUGGAAAGUUUUUCGGUUUGGGAUGGGCUCGCGGCCUAUCAGCUUGUUGGUGAGGUAAUGGCUCACCAAGGCGACGACGGGUAGCCGGCCUGAGAGGGCGACCGGCCACACUGGGACUGAGACACGGCCCAGACUCCUACGGGAGGCAGCAGUGGGGAAUAUUGCACAAUGGGCGAAAGCCUGAUGCAGCGACGCCGCGUGAGGGAUGACGGCCUUCGGGUUGUAAACCUCUUUCAGCAGGGAAGAAGCGAAAGUGACGGUACCUGCAGAAGAAGCACCGGCUACUACGUG
RNAcentral lists this ribosomal RNA (467 nucleotides) under uncultured bacterium. RNAcentral describes it as "partial 16S ribosomal RNA". It matches the Rfam family "Bacterial small subunit ribosomal RNA", at positions 28 to 507 of the family's 1533-position model. The record is from RNAcentral.